Molecule: ribosomal RNA, 802 nt
Filed under: uncultured bacterium
Lineage: Bacteria
Description: bacterial SSU rRNA
Rfam family: Bacterial small subunit ribosomal RNA
Source: RNAcentral
AGAGUUUGAUCAUGGCUCAGGACGAACGCUGGCGGCGUGCUUAACACAUGCAAGUGGAGCGACGAACCGGGGCUUGCCCCGGGGCAGAGCCGCGAACGGGUGAGUAACACGUGGGUAACCCACCUCGAUGACCGGGACAACCCGAGGAAACUCGGGCUAAUACCGGAUGUGAUCCUCUUUUGUAAGAAAGAUGAUGAAAGAUAGCUUCGGCCUUCGCAUCGAGACGGGCCCGCGGCCCAUUAGCUUGUUGGUGGGGUAAUGGCCUACCAAGGCUUCGAUGGGUAGCUGGUCUGAGAGGACGAUCAGCCACACUGGGACUGAGACACGGCCCAGACUCCUACGGGAGGCAGCAGUGGGGAAUCUUGCGCAAUGCGCGAAAGCGUGACGCAGCAACGCCGCGUGGGGGAAGACGGCCUUCGGGUUGUAAACCCCUUUCAGUUGGGACGAAGCUUCAACGGUGAAUAGCCGGCUGGAGUGACGGUACCUUCAGAAGAAGCCCCGGCUAACUACGUGCCAGCAGCCGCGGUAAUACGUAGGGGGCAAGCGUUGUCCGGAAUCAUUGGGCGUAAAGAGCGUGUAGGCGGUUCAGUAAGUCUGCUGUGAAAGUCCAAGGCUCAACCUUGGGAUGCCGGUGGAUACUGCUGAGCUAGAGUACGGAAGAGGCGAGUGGAAUUCCCGGUGUAGCGGUGAAAUGCGCAGAUAUCGGGAGGAACACCUAUUGCGAAGGCAGCUCGCUGGGACGUCACUGACGCUGAGACGCGAAAGCGUGGGGAGCAAACAGGAUUAGAUACCCUAGUAGUCC